Molecule: unclassified non-coding RNA, 221 nt
Filed under: soil metagenome
Description: partial contains 5.8S ribosomal RNA, internal transcribed spacer 2, and large subunit ribosomal RNA
Source: RNAcentral
AACGGUCUAUACCUGCGGUACCUGCGGAAGGAUCAUUACCGAGUUUUCAACUCCCUAACCCUUCUGUGAACCUACCUAUCGUUGCUUCGGCGGACUCGCCCCAGCCCGGACGCGGACUGGACCAGCGGCCCGCCGGGGACCUCAAACUCUUGUAUUCCAGCAUCUUCUGAAUACGCCGCAAGGCAAAACAAAUGAAUCAAAACUUUUAGCAACGGAUCUCU